Molecule: ribosomal RNA, 814 nt
Filed under: Bacillus sp. NRRL B-14911
Lineage: Bacteria; Bacillati; Bacillota; Bacilli; Caryophanales; Bacillaceae
Description: bacterial LSU rRNA
Rfam family: Bacterial large subunit ribosomal RNA
Source: RNAcentral
GCAGCCUGAUAUUGAAUUUGGUACAGCUUGUACAGGAUAGGUAGGAGCUUUGAAGCGGAGCGCCAGCUUCGUGAGGCAUGGUGGGAUACUACCCUGGCUGUAUGAAAUUCUAACCCGCGCCCCUGAUCGGGGCGGGAGACAGUGUCAGGCGGGCAGUUUGACUGGGGCGGUCGCCUCCUAAAAAGUAACGGAGGCGCCCAAAGGUUCCCUCAGAAUGGUUGGAAAUCAUUCGCAGAGUGUAAAGGCACAAGGGAGCUUGACUGCGAGACCUACAAGUCGAGCAGGGACGAAAGUCGGGCUUAGUGAUCCGGUGGUUCCGCAUGGAAGGGCCAUCGCUCAACGGAUAAAAGCUACCCCGGGGAUAACAGGCUUAUCUCCCCCAAGAGUCCACAUCGACGGGGAGGUUUGGCACCUCGAUGUCGGCUCAUCGCAUCCUGGGGCUGUAGUCGGUCCCAAGGGUUGGGCUGUUCGCCCAUUAAAGCGGUACGCGAGCUGGGUUCAGAACGUCGUGAGACAGUUCGGUCCCUAUCCGUCGUGGGCGCAGGAAAUUUGAGAGGAGCUGUCCUUAGUACGAGAGGACCGGGAUGGACGCACCGCUGGUGUACCAGUUGUCUUGCCAAAGGCAUCGCUGGGUAGCUAUGUGCGGAAGGGAUAAGUGCUGAAAGCAUCUAAGCAUGAAGCCCCCCUCGAGAUGAGAUUUCCCAUAGCGUCAAGCUAGUAAGAUCCCUGAAAGAUGAUCAGGUUGAUAGGUCUGAGGUGGAAGCGUGGUGACACGUGGAGCUGACAGAUACUAAUAGAUCGAGGACUUAACCAC